This 325-nucleotide ribosomal RNA is filed under the name uncultured eukaryote. Its description in RNAcentral is "partial 18S ribosomal RNA". It matches the Rfam family "Eukaryotic small subunit ribosomal RNA", at positions 1470 to 1796 of the family's 1831-position model. The record is from RNAcentral.
CCCUUAGACGUUCUGGGCCGCACGCGCGCUACACUGACGAAGGCAACGAGCUUUCCUUUACCGAAAGGUACGGGUAAUCUUUUGAAACUUCGUCGUGCUGGGGAUAGAUCCUUGCAAUUUUUGAUCUUAAACGAGGAAUGCCUAGUAGGCGCAAGUCAUCAGCUUGCGUCGAUUACGUCCCUGCCCUUUGUACACACCGCCCGUCGCUCCUACCGAUUGGGUGUGCUGGUGAAAUGUUCGGAUCGGCCGUUUGUCGCGGUUUCCGCGUCAUGUGGCUGAGAAGUUCAUUAAACCCUCCCACCUAGAGGAAGGAGAAGUCGUAACA